UACGUAGGGGGCGAGCGUUGUCCGGAAUUAUUGGGCGUAAAGAGCUCGUAGGCGGUUUGUCGCGUCGGGAGUGAAAACCUUGGGCUUAACUCAGGGCUUGCUUUCGAUACGGGCAGACUAGAGGUAUGCAGGGGAGAACGGAAUUCCUGGUGUAGCGGUGAAAUGCGCAGAUAUCAGGAGGAACACCGGUGGCGAAGGCGGUUCUCUGGGCAUGAUCUGACGCUGAGGAGCGAAAGUGUGGGGAGCGAACAGG
This 253-nucleotide ribosomal RNA is filed under the name uncultured bacterium. RNAcentral's name for it is "partial 16S ribosomal RNA". It matches the Rfam family "Bacterial small subunit ribosomal RNA", at positions 524 to 776 of the family's 1533-position model. The record is from RNAcentral.